Molecule: ribosomal RNA, 497 nt
Filed under: uncultured bacterium
Lineage: Bacteria
Description: partial 16S ribosomal RNA
Rfam family: Bacterial small subunit ribosomal RNA
Source: RNAcentral
GAUGAACGCUGGCGGCGUGCCUAAUACAUGCAAGUCGAGCGAACGGACGAGAAGCUUGCUUCUCUGAUGUUAGCGGCGGACGGGUGAGUAACACGUGGAUAACCUACCUAUAAGACUGGGAUAACUUCGGGAAACCGUAGCUAAUACCGGAUAAUAUUUUGAACCGCAUGGUUCAAAAGUGAAAGACGGUCUUGCUGUCACUUAUAGAUGGAUCCGCGCUGCAUUAGCUAGUUGGUAAGGUAACGGCUUACCAAGGCAACGAUGCAUAGCCGACCUGAGAGGGUGAUCGGCCACACUGGAACUGAGACACGGUCCAGACUCCUACGGGAGGCAGCAGUGGGGAAUCUUCCGCAAUGGGCGAAAGCCUGACGGAGCAACGCCGCGUGAGUGAUGAAGGUCUUCGGAUCGUAAAACUCUGUUAUUAGGGAAGAACAUAUGUGUAAGUAACUGUGCACAUCUUGACGGUACCUAAUCAGAAAGCCACGGCUAACUACGUG